UGGAAAUGGCUAUCGGUGACUAUCCGGCAGAGUACAAUCCAAAGGUCCAUGGGCCCUACGAUCCAGCCCGAUUUUACGGGAAGGCUGAUGCUCCGUU
Molecule: non-coding RNA, 97 nt
Organism: Anopheles melas
Lineage: Eukaryota; Metazoa; Arthropoda; Insecta; Diptera; Culicidae
Source: Rfam